This 490-nucleotide ribosomal RNA is filed under the name uncultured Chrysochromulina. RNAcentral's name for it is "bacterial SSU rRNA". It matches the Rfam family "Bacterial small subunit ribosomal RNA", at positions 90 to 611 of the family's 1533-position model. The record is from RNAcentral. Lineage: Eukaryota; Haptophyta; Prymnesiales; Chrysochromulinaceae.
CUUUAGUGGCGAACGGGUGCGUAAUACGUGAGAAUCUGCCCUUAGGAGAAGAAUAACUGCUGGAAACGGCUGCUAAAUCUUCAUAUGUCGAGAGAUGAAAUAGCUUAGGCUGCCUAAGGAUGAGCUCACGCCUGAUUAGCUAGUUGGUGAGGUAAUGGCUCACCAAGGCCACGAUCAGUAGCUGGUUUGAGAGAACGAUCAGCCACACUGGGACUGAGACACGGCCCAGACUCCUCCGGGAGGCAGCAGUGAGGAAUUUUCCGCAAUGGGCGAAAGCCUGACGGAGCAAUACCGCGUGAGGGAUGAAGGAUUUUGGUCUGUAAACCUCUUUUCUCAAGAAAGAAGUUCUGACGGUACUUGAGGAAUAAGCAUCGGCUAACUCCGUGCCAGCAGCCGCGGUAAUACGGGGGAUGCAAGCGUUAUCCGGAAUCAUUGGGCGUAAAGCGCCUGUAGGUUGUUUAAUAAGUCUGUUGUUAAAGACUAGGGCUUA